UUUUUUCUCGAUAUAAAAUGGGCUAUAAAUUUAUUUAUUUUAAUGUUAAAAAAUUAUUUUUAAUAAAUUUAUUGAAAUGAAACGUUAUUCGUAUUUUAUUAUAUCUAGUUUUUUAAGAAAUAAAUUUAAUUUAUUUAUUAAUAAUCAAUUAUUUGAAUAUAGAAUUUAUUGAUAAUUAAUAUAAAAUAUUAUUAGGGAUAAGCUUGAUAAUAAAUUUUUAAUAGAAGAUUAAAUUAAGUAGUUAGUGGGAAUAGAGGUUUCUUUCUGUAUUUAGUGUGUUAUUACAAGUUACUUAAAUUAUAUAAUUUUUAUGAAGUUUAAAUAGUUUAUUAGAAUAAUUAAUUUAAUGGGUUUAUUGAGGUAAUAAUGAUUAAAUUAGUAUAAAUAAUUUUUAAUAUUAAUUUUUUAUGGUUGGUAUAGUAAAGGAAUUCGGCAAAAAAGUUUUCGCCUGUUUAUUAAAAACAUGGUUUUUUGAUAAUAAUUUAAGAUUUGGCCUGCCCUAUGAGGAGUUAAAUGGCUGCAGUAUUUUGACUGUACAAAGGUAGCAUAAUAAUUAGUUCUUUAAUUGGGAACUGGAAUGAAGGGUCGGACGAGAGAUUUACUGUCUCUAUUAUAUUAUUAUAGAAUUUUAUUUUUAAGUAAAAAAGCUUAAAUAUUAUUAAAAGACGAGAAGACCCUAUAGAACUUUAUAUUUAUGAUAAAUAAUAGUUAUUUUGUAAUUAAUGAAUAUUAUUUAUUUAAGUAUUUUGUUGGGGUGACAGAAAAAUUGAAUUAACUUUUUUAUUUAGUAAAUAUUUAUUUAUAGAUAAUUGAUCCAUUUAUAAUGAUUAAUAGAUUAAGUUACCUUAGGGAUAACAGCGUAAUUUCUUUUAAAAGUUCUUAUUGAAAGAGAAGAUUGCGACCUCGAUGUUGGAUUAAAUUAUAUUAUAGGUGCAGAAGCUUAUAAAUUUGGUCUGUUCGA
This 961-nucleotide ribosomal RNA is filed under the name Taeniocerus mourzinei. RNAcentral describes it as "partial 16S ribosomal RNA". Lineage: Eukaryota; Metazoa; Arthropoda; Insecta; Coleoptera; Passalidae. The record is from RNAcentral.